Molecule: long non-coding RNA, 720 nt
Filed under: Triticum aestivum (bread wheat)
Lineage: Eukaryota; Viridiplantae; Streptophyta; Magnoliopsida; Poales; Poaceae
Description: long non-coding RNA (TAES_LNC013784)
Source: RNAcentral
CCAAAUUAUCUUUUUCUACUGUGUCUUUUCCUCAUUGUGAAGAUACCCAUGAACCUACAAAAUUAAUGAAGAAUUAGAGAUAAUGAAUAACCUAUCAGGUCCUUUUUUCAGGCUCAAACAUGUUCAAAGAUGGAUGAAUAAAGGUACCUCCACAUCAUCAAUAUCAGAAAAAACUUUCUAGAUCACCAUCAACUUUACCGCUUUCACCUAGGGAUGACAAAUAGCAUUAAGAAGUUGAUCAGGAGCAAUCAACUUGACACUAUGAACCCAAAUGCGGACAGGUAGACUGAACUGAAAUUACUAUUGCAUGUUACGGGUAACUAACAAACCUUGCGUGCCAGGAUUGAGGAUCCUUUGAAGCCACAUAAUCGUUUGCAAUUUCACUAUAACUAACUGUUGGAGAUUUAACUCCCACUAAAUCCCGUGUCAAAAAAGGCAAACGGAAUUUCCAAAAAAAUAAACACAUAUAGAGUAUACAGAAUGGAUAGUAACAGAAGGAGCUAACACAACUCUACUGAAGAGGUAACAUCGAUGCAAUAAAUCAAUAGUUUUGAGCAGAAAUAGCGUGUACUUACUGACAACCGUCUGGUCCUUCACAUCGCUGGCCGGCAGGCGUGACGGCGGAGGCUUCUCGCAUGCUAACGACCAGGAGAAUCAUGACGAGGCAUAUGGCUAUGUGGCUGCUUCGGGCACUGGAAGAAGAGGCCAUUUUUUCGCGAG